Molecule: ribosomal RNA, 468 nt
Filed under: uncultured bacterium
Lineage: Bacteria
Description: partial 16S ribosomal RNA
Rfam family: Bacterial small subunit ribosomal RNA
Source: RNAcentral
GACGAACGCUGGCGGCGUGCUUAACACAUGCAAGUCGAACGGAAAGGCCCUGCUUUUGUGGGGUGCUCGAGUGGCGAACGGGUGAGUAACACGUGAGUAACCUGCCCUUGACUUUGGGAUAACUUCAGGAAACUGGGGCUAAUACCGGAUAGGAGCUCCUGCUGCAUGGUGGGGGUUGGAAAGUUUCGGCGGUUGGGGAUGGACUCGCGGCUUAUCAGCUUGUUGGUUGGGUAGUGGCUUACCAAGGCUUUGACGGGUAGCCGGCCUGAGAGGGUGACCGGCCACAUUGGGACUGAGAUACGGCCCAGACUCCUACGGGAGGCAGCAGUGGGGUAUAGUGUACAAUGGGCGGAAGCCUGAUGCAGCAACGCCGCGUGCGGGAUGACGGCCUGCGGGUUGUAAACCGCUGUCGCCUGUGACGAAGCGUGAGUGACGGUAAUGGGUAAAGAAGCACCGGCUAACUACGUG